AGUUUGGUGAUGCUAAUGAACCCUGGUUCUCAACAAAGUUUCCUCCACAUGUCCCGAUGACUGGAGGAUUGGUAGUUGGAGGAUUGGUAGUUGGUAUCUCAGUGGUAGAACCACCCUGGAUGACGUAAGUAGCUCUGAAACCACGCCCAGUGACGCUGUAAUCAGAUGUGAAAGAAACCAACAUCUGGUUGCUGCUAGAGAUCUGGACAGGGGGUAUUGUGUUACCACAGAAGAUCUCUCCGAUACUGUUGAUGUCGUCUGUGCGUACCUCGA
Long non-coding RNA from Strongylocentrotus purpuratus (purple sea urchin), 273 nucleotides. RefSeq lists it as uncharacterized. The record is from RefSeq and is a predicted model, not a curated record. NCBI's taxonomy places the organism in Eukaryota, Metazoa, Echinodermata, Echinoidea, Camarodonta, Strongylocentrotidae. The transcript is spliced from 2 exons.